Molecule: ribosomal RNA, 634 nt
Filed under: Caballeronia sp.
Lineage: Bacteria; Pseudomonadati; Pseudomonadota; Betaproteobacteria; Burkholderiales; Burkholderiaceae
Description: bacterial SSU rRNA
Rfam family: Bacterial small subunit ribosomal RNA
Source: RNAcentral
ACGUGUCCUGUAGUGGGGGAUAGCCCGGCGAAAGCCGGAUUAAUACCGCAUACGAUCUACGGAAGAAAGCGGGGGAUCCUUCGGGACCUCGCGCUAUAGGGGCGGCCGAUGGCAGAUUAGCUAGUUGGUGGGGUAAAGGCCUACCAAGGCGACGAUCUGUAGCUGGUCUGAGAGGACGACCAGCCACACUGGGACUGAGACACGGCCCAGACUCCUACGGGAGGCAGCAGUGGGGAAUUUUGGACAAUGGGGGCAACCCUGAUCCAGCAAUGCCGCGUGUGUGAAGAAGGCCUUCGGGUUGUAAAGCACUUUUGUCCGGAAAGAAAACCUCUUGGUUAAUACCUGAGGGGGAUGACGGUACCGGAAGAAUAAGCACCGGCUAACUACGUGCCAGCAGCCGCGGUAAUACGUAGGGUGCGAGCGUUAAUCGGAAUUACUGGGCGUAAAGCGUGCGCAGGCGGUCUGUUAAGACCGAUGUGAAAUCCCCGGGCUUAACCUGGGAACUGCAUUGGUGACUGGCAGGCUUUGAGUGUGGCAGAGGGAGGUAGAAUUCCACGUGUAGCAGUGAAAUGCGUAGAGAUGUGGAGGAAUACCGAUGGCGAAGGCAGCCUCCUGGGCCAACACUGACGCUCAG